GGUUAAGCGACUAAGCGUACACGGUGGAUGCCCUGGCAGUCAGAGGCGAUGAAGGGCGUGCUAAUCUGCGAUAAGCGCCGGUAAGGUGAUAUGAACCGUUAUAACCGGCGAUACCCGAAUGGGGAAACCCAGUGUGACUCGUCACACUAUCAUUAACUGAAUCCAUAGGUUAAUGAGGCGAACCGGGGGAACUGAAACAUCUAAGUACCCCGAGGAAAAGAAAUCAACCGAGAUUCCCCCAGUAGCGGCGAGCGAACGGGGAGGAGCCCAGAGCCUGAAUCAGCAUGUGUGUUAGUGGAAGCGUCUGGAAAGGCGCGCGAUACAGGGUGACAGCCCCGUACACAAAAGCGCAUGUGCUGUGAGCUCGAUGAGUAGGGCGGGACACGUGGUAUCCUGUCUGAAUAUGGGGGGACCAUCCUCCAAGGCUAAAUACUCCUGACUGACCGAUAGUGAACCAGUACCGUGAGGGAAAGGCGAAAAGAACCCCGGCGAGGGGAGUGAAAAAGAACCUGAAACCGUGUACGUACAAGCAGUGGGAGCACAGGUUUACCUGUGUGACUGCGUACCUUUUGUAUAAUGGGUCAGCGACUUAUAUUCUGUAGCAAGGUUAACCGUAUAGGGGAGCCGUAGGGAAACCGAGUCUUAACCGGGCGUUAAGUUGCAGGGUAUAGACCCGAAACCCGGUGAUCUAGCCAUGGGCAGGUUGAAGGUUGGGUAACACUAACUGGAGGACCGAACCGACUAAUGUUGAAAAAUUAGCGGAUGACCUGUGGCUGGGGGUGAAAGGCCAAUCAAACCGGGAGAUAGCUGGUUCUCCCCGAAAGCUAUUUAGGUAGCGCCUCGUGAAUUCAUCUCCGGGGGUAGAGCACUGUUUCGGCUAGGGGGCCAUCCCGGCUUACCAACCCGAUGCAAACUGCGAAUACCGGAGAAUGUUAUCACGGGAGACACACGGCGGGUGCUAACGUCCGUCGUGAAGAGGGAAACAACCCAGACCGCCAGCUAAGGUCCCAAAGUCAUGGUUAAGUGGGAAACGAUGUGGGAAGGCCCAGACAGCCAGGAUGUUGGCUUAGAAGCAGCCAUCAUUUAAAGAAAGCGUAAUAGCUCACUGGUCGAGUCGGCCUGCGCGGAAGAUGUAACGGGGCUAAACCAUGCACCGAAGCUGCGGCAGCGACACUGAUGCGUUGUUGGGUAGGGGAGCGUUCUGUAAGCCUGUGAAGGUGGCCUGUGAGGGUUGCUGGAGGUAUCAGAAGUGCGAAUGCUGACAUAAGUAACGAUAAAGCGGGUGAAAAGCCCGCUCGCCGGAAGACCAAGGGUUCCUGUCCAACGUUAAUCGGGGCAGGGUGAGUCGACCCCUAAGGCGAGGCCGAAAGGCGUAGUCGAUGGGAAACGGGUUAAUAUUCCCGUACUUGGUGUUACUGCGAAGGGGGGACGGAGAAGGCUAUGUUGGCCGGGCGACGGUUGUCCCGGUUUAAGCGUGUAGGUGUGUGUUCCAGGUAAAUCCGGUUCACUUUAACACUGAGGCGUGAUGACGAGGCACUACGGUGCUGAAGCAACAAAUGCCCUGCUUCCAGGAAAAGCCUCUAAGCAUCAGGUAACAUCAAAUCGUACCCCAAACCGACACAGGUGGUCAGGUAGAGAAUACCAAGGCGCUUGAGAGAACUCGGGUGAAGGAACUAGGCAAAAUGGUGCCGUAACUUCGGGAGAAGGCACGCUGACACGUAGGUGAAGUGAUUUACUCACGGAGCUGAAGUCAGUCGAAGAUACCAGCUGGCUGCAACUGUUUAUUAAAAACACAGCACUGUGCAAACACGAAAGUGGACGUAUACGGUGUGACGCCUGCCCGGUGCCGGAAGGUUAAUUGAUGGGGUCAGCGCAAGCGAAGCUCCUGAUCGAAGCCCCGGUAAACGGCGGCCGUAACUAUAACGGUCCUAAGGUAGCGAAAUUCCUUGUCGGGUAAGUUCCGACCUGCACGAAUGGCGUAAUGAUGGCCAGGCUGUCUCCACCCGAGACUCAGUGAAAUUGAACUCGCUGUGAAGAUGCAGUGUACCCGCGGCAAGACGGAAAGACCCCGUGAACCUUUACUAUAGCUUGACACUGAACAUUGAGCCUUGAUGUGUAGGAUAGGUGGGAGGCUUUGAAGUGUGGACGCCAGUCUGCAUGGAGCCGACCUUGAAAUACCACCCUUUAAUGUUUGAUGUUCUAACGUGGACCCGUAAUCCGGGUUGCGGACAGUGUCUGGUGGGUAGUUUGACUGGGGCGGUCUCCUCCUAAAGAGUAACGGAGGAGCACGAAGGUUGGCUAAUCCUGGUCGGACAUCAGGAGGUUAGUGCAAUGGCAUAAGCCAGCUUGACUGCGAGCGUGACGGCGCGAGCAGGUGCGAAAGCAGGUCAUAGUGAUCCGGUGGUUCUGAAUGGAAGGGCCAUCGCUCAACGGAUAAAAGGUACUCCGGGGAUAACAGGCUGAUACCGCCCAAGAGUUCAUAUCGACGGCGGUGUUUGGCACCUCGAUGUCGGCUCAUCACAUCCUGGGGCUGAAGUAGGUCCCAAGGGUAUGGCUGUUCGCCAUUUAAAGUGGUACGCGAGCUGGGUUUAGAACGUCGUGAGACAGUUCGGUCCCUAUCUGCCGUGGGCGCUGGAGAACUGAGGGGGGCUGCUCCUAGUACGAGAGGACCGGAGUGGACGCAUCACUGGUGUUCGGGUUGUCAUGCCAAUGGCACUGCCCGGUAGCUAAAUGCGGAAGAGAUAAGUGCUGAAAGCAUCUAAGCACGAAACUUGCCCCGAGAUGAGUUCUCCCUGAGACUUAAAGUCUCCUGAAGGAACGUUGAAGACGACGACGUUGAUAGGCCGGGUGUGUAAGCGCAGCGAUGCGUUGAGCUAACCGGUACUAAUGAACCGUGAGGCUUAACCUU
RNAcentral lists this ribosomal RNA (2908 nucleotides) under Salmonella enterica subsp. enterica. RNAcentral's name for it is "23S ribosomal RNA". It matches the Rfam family "Bacterial large subunit ribosomal RNA". Lineage: Bacteria; Pseudomonadati; Pseudomonadota; Gammaproteobacteria; Enterobacterales; Enterobacteriaceae. The record is from RNAcentral.